AUGACGCAGUUCAACUCUUGUUGUCUUUCACACAAGUUCAGAUUCAUCUACCCUGUUCUGCCUUUCUGCAUGGUAUUUUGUGGGAUAGCUUUGGUGAAUCUGAGAACCUGGAGACGGCCUGCCGCAUGUGCCUUAUUGGUCUCCAACCUAGUGCGGUCUGCCUGUACACAGGUCUGCUUCACCAGCGAGGCACCCUGGAUGUCAUGGGUCACCUCCAGACCUUGUGUGACAACAGCGAUCCUUCAACCCCUCCACUGCCUGAAGUCCUCUUUCCAAUGCCCUGUCACUCUACACCUUUCUACAGCCACAUCCACUGUCCAAUGAAGAAGCAUUUCCUAGAAUGUCCACCAGAUCUCAUAGGAGACAAGAGCUAUGUCGAUGAAGCUGAGAGAUUAUUCGCUGAUCCUCAUCAUUGGUUGACCUCAUUUCCUUAAGUCAAUGCUGCCAACCCACCUUGUGUUCUUUGAUGUUCUGAAGAAGGAGAUCUCGGCAUUCUUGGAGGGGAAUAGAUUUAUGAGAAGUACAGAAAUAUUCCACAGUCACGUUCCUGAAGGACGAGUUGGAAAAAGCAUCCUAGUUUAUCAAAGGCACUGAAGAGAAUGAGAAUACAUUUCUAAGAAGCACAAAGAUUUUCCCUUACUCAUGUAUCUCAAGGACGAGUUUGAAGAAGCAUCCUAGUUUACAAAAUGCACUGAACAGAACCAUCUUGACCAUUGGAAAGUUAAAUCAAAAUGGAUCUGUAAAGCAAAGGAAUAAAUUAUAAUUAAAACUGAAUAACAGAUUGAUAUUUUAAACAGUGAAAAUAAUGCAACACCUGGCCAGACAGUUUACUAUAUUAGGGGGGGAAAGAAGCAAUCAAUAUUCACUUUUUUUAUUUAUUGGGAAGCUGCAAUUCAUUUUCAACAGCACAUCUGUAAAUGAAAGGAAAUAAAUCAGCCUUAAUAAAACAAGCCAUAGUUGGAAUGUUACUGAACAAUUUAACGACAACACAGUUGCACUUUAUCUCACCAUUUUAAACAAAUAUGUAACGUAGCAGUACAUUAUAGAAAUCCACUGUGGUUUUGCUACUUUUAAAGUUUUACUGCACACAACAGUAUCAUUGUCAGCAAUUGUUUAGGCCAUCAUCUCACAAUUAUCAAUCUGUCACCUUAUGACAAUUUGGAAUUGAAAUUAAAGUGUAUUUGUCAGUGCAUAACUUCUCAAUGCCACUGACAAAAAUUAUAUUUCUUUCCAUUGUUGGAUCCAUCCAAUGAAUCAUUAAUCAUUCACAAUAGGCCUACAUUUAGACAAUUAAAAUGGUAACAGAUUAUUAUUAUUAUUUAAUUUUUUAAACAAGGCCCAAAAAUAAGAAAUGUUGUGCAAAUUACAGUCAGUGAUGGUUCUUAAAAAGAACAUGUAACAGCUGACCUGAUGACAAUGAAUGUGUACUACAGAGUUUGCUACUGUCAGAUUUACUUACUGUAUUCCAAUGUUUAAAUAUGACUAACUACAGCAAUUAAAGACAAUUUAUGGCUAAAUCAUUGCAGCAAUAAUUUUCUUUGUGCGCAUGAGAUUAGAUGCAGUCAGAUACACCACCAUUGACACUAACCUAAGGAUUGCUUACACAACACAGGAAGCAAGGGGACAUUCAGGCAGUGUUAAAAGAACAUUGUGCAAAAUCACAAAAACAGAAGAAUAAGAAGUGAAAAGGCUUUCCAAACACAUCCUAAAUAGCCUUUGCAACUACAAUAUCAGCCAUUAUAAAAAACAGAUUCAUUAGGUAAGAUUAUUCUCAAUAUUUGGGAUCAAAGGGCAUAGGACCCAAC
Molecule: RNA transcript, 1805 nt
Organism: Salmo salar (Atlantic salmon)
Lineage: Eukaryota; Metazoa; Chordata; Actinopteri; Salmoniformes; Salmonidae
Gene name: GPI alpha-1,2-mannosyltransferase 3-like
Source: RefSeq, a predicted model, not a curated record